This 83-nucleotide transfer RNA is filed under the name Streptomyces sp. H27-H5. Its description in RNAcentral is "tRNA-Leu". It matches the Rfam family "tRNA". Rfam says of the family: Transfer RNA (tRNA) molecules are approximately 80 nucleotides in length. Their secondary structure includes four short double-helical elements and three loops (D, anti-codon, and T loops). Lineage: Bacteria; Bacillati; Actinomycetota; Actinomycetes; Kitasatosporales; Streptomycetaceae. The record is from RNAcentral. RNAcentral also lists the same sequence under 1 other name.
GGGCGAGUGGCGAAACGGUAAACGCAGCGGCCUUAAAAGCCGUACCCGGAAACGGGUUGUGGGUUCGAGUCCCACCUCGCUCA